UGCAAGUCGAGCGGUAGAGAGAAGCUUGCUUCUCUUGAGAGCGGCGGACGGGUGAGUAAUGCCUAGGAAUCUGCCUGGUAGUGGGGGAUAACGUUCGGAAACGGACGCUAAUACCGCAUACGUCCUACGGGAGAAAGCAGGGGACCUUCGGGCCUUGCGCUAUCAGAUGAGCCUAGGUCGGAUUAGCUAGUGGGUGGGGUAAUGGCUCACCAAGGCGACGAUCCGUAACUGGUCUGAGAGGAUGAUCAGUCACACUGGAACUGAGACACGGUCCAGACUCCUACGGGAGGCAGCAGUGGGGAAUAUUGGACAAUGGGCGAAAGCCUGAUCCAGCCAUGCCGCGUGUGUGAAGAAGGUCUUCGGAUUGUAAAGCACUUUAAGUUGGGAGGAAGGGUUGUAGAUUAAUACUCUGCAAUUUUGACGUUACCGACAGAAUAAGCACCGGCUAACUCUGUG
RNAcentral lists this ribosomal RNA (456 nucleotides) under uncultured bacterium. RNAcentral describes it as "bacterial SSU rRNA". It matches the Rfam family "Bacterial small subunit ribosomal RNA", at positions 56 to 507 of the family's 1533-position model. The record is from RNAcentral.